This is a non-coding RNA of Labrus bergylta (ballan wrasse), 351 nucleotides long. The record is from the annotation of a RefSeq genome assembly. Lineage: Eukaryota; Metazoa; Chordata; Actinopteri; Labriformes; Labridae.
AUGAUGGACUAUAGGACAGGACUGCUGCUUUUUACUGUCUGCUGGGCAGGUGUUGAUGGUCAGACUCUGACAGAAUCUGAAGCAGUGGUUAAAAGUCCUGGAGAAUCCCACAGACUGACCUGUUCAGCCUCUGGAUUCACAUUCAGCAGCUUUGAUAUGAACUGGGUCAGACAGGCUGCAGGAAAAGGACUGGAGUGGAUCGCCUGGGUUGAACGUGAUAAUGACAGAAAAUUCUACUCUCAGUCAGUUACAGGCCGGUUCACCAUCUCCAGAGACAACAGCAGACAGCAGGUGUAUCUGCAGAUGAACAGUCUGAAGACUGAAGAUUCUGCUGUUCAUUAUUGUCCUUGA